AUGAUGAGAACCAAGAAUGUGAAGAGUGAGCCUGGAAAGCAUCCCGGCUCUCGAUGUAAACACAAAGCCCAGAGAACUAUCACUAAAGCUCAUAAAAGGAAGAAGACAAGGAGGCCAGCAGGUUCCAAGAGGAAGAUAGAGAAGAAGCCAAUGUUGGUUGACAACAACAACAUUAGUAAGAGUAAUAAAGGCACGGAUGCUGACUUUGAGCCAGAGAUACCUGAUGAUGAUAGCCGGAAGAAAUAUGCAAGUGUUUUGGGCUUGUAUGGCAGUGCUUUGGACAGAGCUUUAGAGGUAGAAAACAAAUUGCCAGCAGAAGGUCCAAGCUUCGUCAAGCUUAUGCAGAAAUCACAUGUUGUUAAAGGUUUUUGGCUGGGUGUCCCGCUCCGCUUUUGCAGAGAGCAUCUUCCAAAGCAUGAUGUUACAAUUGUAUUAGAAGAUGAGGAUGGGCACGGGUUUGAUACAAUUUACCUAGCUCGCAAGCAGGGCCUAAGUGGUGGGUGGCAUGGGUUUGUGGUACGCCAUGGUCUUAAGGUCGGCGAUGCCGUGAUCUUUCAACUCGUCGGACCGAAAAGAUUUAAGGUGUAUAUACUGAGAGAGAAUAAGUUCACUACAACCGAUGGAGCGCUCGGUCUCUUGAGUUUGGACACGUCCAUGGAAAACCACAUACCCGAAAAAGAAGAAGAAACUUCGGAUGAAGGUGUCAAGUCCAAGGCGGAUCCAGAGGUCACCAAAGUUAUCAGAAACAAAGCAUCCGACGACGAUAGCAAUGACCUUUUCAGUGAAGAAGCCGUGAACGGUGGCGGCAGAUCAGCAGCAGAUCCAGACCCUGAUUUGGACGCCGUGAAAACAUUCAGAGCCUUCAAGACCGCCGUCGACAGUUCUGUCAUUGACCGCAAACUAGUCCCCGAUCACCAGCUUUGGACGUACUACAAGCUGUGCGGCGCUCGCAAGGCGUUCCUCCACAGGCGUCUGCCGAAGCACAUAAACCCGACGCUAGCCGCAGGGGUGAUAGCAGAGACGGCCAGCAUCGCUGAGGGCAUCAGGUCCUACCCGGCCUCCUCCUCUUCUCCAGAGGACCUCGUGGCGUGGAAGAAGACCCUAGAGUCAUUUGAGCUGCUGGGCAUGGACGUCAGCUUCAUGCGCAAGCGUGUCGACGAGCUCCUUUUCCUCCUCGACGCCGGGCCAUCAGAUGAUCACCCGUCUGAGCGGUACGAGGAGAUGAAGCUGGAGCGUGCUCGCACCGCGGAGAAGGUGAGGGCGCUCGAGACGAAGAUGGCGAGCCUGAAGGAUGCUCUCAAGGAGAUGGACAUGGAGAUGGAGGAGAUCGCGGGGGAGAGGAGGAGGGGCCAUGCUGAUGCUAUGCUGCAGCUGGCGGCCGCGCCGUGGUGA
This 1392-nucleotide ribosomal RNA is filed under the name Triticum aestivum (bread wheat). RNAcentral's name for it is "partial small subunit ribosomal RNA". Lineage: Eukaryota; Viridiplantae; Streptophyta; Magnoliopsida; Poales; Poaceae. The record is from RNAcentral.